Molecule: ribosomal RNA, 654 nt
Filed under: uncultured Pseudomonadota bacterium
Lineage: Bacteria; Pseudomonadati; Pseudomonadota
Description: bacterial SSU rRNA
Rfam family: Bacterial small subunit ribosomal RNA
Source: RNAcentral
CGGUAACAGGAAGCAGCUUGCUGCUUCGCUGACGAGUGGCGGACGGGUGAGUAAUGUCUGGGAAGCUGCCUGAUGGAGGGGGAUAACUACUGGAAACGGUAGCUAAUACCGCAUAAUGUCGCAAGACCAAAGAGGGGGACCUUCGGGCCUCUUGCCAUCGGAUGUGCCCAGAUGGGAUUAGCUUGUUGGUGGGGUAACGGCUCACCAAGGCGACGAUCCCUAGCUGGUCUGAGAGGAUGACCAGCCACACUGGAACUGAGACACGGUCCAGACUCCUACGGGAGGCAGCAGUGGGGAAUAUUGCACAAUGGGCGCAAGCCUGAUGCAGCCAUGCCGCGUGUAUGAAGAAGGCCUUCGGGUUGUAAAGUACUUUCAGCGGGGAGGAAGGGAGUAAAGUUAAUACCUUUGCUCAUUGACGUUACCCGCAGAAGAAGCACCGGCUAACUCCGUGCCAGCAGCCGCGGUAAUACGGAGGGUGCAAGCGUUAAUCGGAAUUACUGGGCGUAAAGCGCACGCAGGCGGUUUGUUAAGUCAGAUGUGAAAUCCCCGGGCUCAACCUGGGAACUGCAUCUGAUACUGGCAAGCUUGAGUCUCGUAGAGGGGGGUAGAAUUCCAGGUGUAGCGGUGAAAUGCGUAGAGAUCUGGAGGAAUACC